This is a long non-coding RNA of Lynx canadensis (Canada lynx), 1517 nucleotides long. RefSeq lists it as uncharacterized. NCBI's taxonomy places the organism in Eukaryota, Metazoa, Chordata, Mammalia, Carnivora, Felidae. The record is from RefSeq and is a predicted model, not a curated record. The transcript has 4 exons.
AUCUGGCAGCCAGCCCACCGCAGAGAAGAGGGAACUCCGCAGAGAAGAAACUAGCAACGAGGCCCCAAAGGUGGAAGUGCAGCCUGAGAAACUUGAGCCAGCCCGGGACUGUGCCGGCCUUGCCACUCACUCUGCAGGGUGUGGCGUGCAGGACCCCUCCGGCUUCACAAGACUGAUAUGCCUCCUGUGACAGAGAAACGGAAGCCCAAGGAGGUGAAAUAACUUGCCCCAGGACGCACAAGCAGGAAACAGAGGAGCCAGGAUUCAAACCCCCUGUGUGGCCAUCCCUGGAGCCCAGACUCUGACCGCAGCAACUUCAGCUUUCAAGUGAAAAUCAAGAUGAUGAGUUUUUAUGUUCAGAUGGAUUAUUUAAAGUAGCAUGAAAAUUCAUACAAUGAACUACGACACAGCAGUUGGAAUGAACAAAUGACAUCACACAAUAACAUGGAUGAAUUUUACCAACAAAAAAGUAAACUAAAGAAGCCAGAGACAGAAGAGAGCACAACGUAGCUACACGUUAAAGUGUUCAGUCACCUCGAAAACCUCGAGGCAACUGCCGGAUGUUCCAAAGUCAAGAUCCUCCACAGACAGGAAAUGCCUCUGCCAGCUCCAAGGUCUCCUCCCGGCAGCCCUCUCCAUUGUCUGCACAGAUUUGUGUACAUCCGACUGAAAAGAUUUACCGCCUGCUGGAGCCAAUCAAAGAGCCACCUUAAAAGAAGGGAGUCAGUGAGGGCUUUCUAGUUUUUCUAGCUAACACUUAGUGCCCAUUCUGUACCACGUAUAACGCUCCCUCUCAGGUGAGCUGCCCACCUCUCUAGGAACUGGGGCUGAGAAUUCACAUUUCCCAAGGUCCCCAACCAGCAAGAGACGUAGGAGACUCGUCAACCAUACUUGCAGCUCUGCUCUUAUCCACCAUGGUAUAAUUUCUGCAAUAGGUGUCUCCACAGCCAGAUCUGAAGGGGUAGCUGCUGUUCGGAGGACCUUGGAUCGAUUUUGGUGGGUGGUAGGAAUCUCCAAAGUGCUUGUCAUUUGGAUUCAACAACAAUACCAAAAAAUGUAUCAAGGGACUGAAAUUCGAUUAGACAAGUACAGAGUCCAGCUGGAAUCUCAUGAAACCCCAAGCGAUGAAAAGGAAAUGUUGGUAUAACAUCUGAUUAUUUUUACAAGAUACCAAACUCCUAACCAUUUAGAAGCAUCCUGGGUAACUGUUUGGUUCUCCACCUUCUGUCCCGUGUUAGGAGUCACAAAAGCCUCACCUCCAAUCACAGAUUUAAAGGAUCAUUGAUAUUCGAUUUUAAAGAAAAAUCUAAAGAGUGAGCUUCUGAGUUCACGUCAUCUUCCAGAAGGCAGUAUAACUGGAAUGGGAAUUUUGGUAAAGACAGUCUGUCCCCAACAAAAUGCACUUCCCCCAAGUCUGAAUACAUUUUCUUGAAUCUCUACCCUGUCUCCAUUAAGUAAAAUGAAUAUUCACAGCAAUGAAACCACCACCAAAAAAAAAAAAGUUGUCAGAAAUGUUG